Molecule: ribosomal RNA, 465 nt
Filed under: Vreelandella stevensii
Lineage: Bacteria; Pseudomonadati; Pseudomonadota; Gammaproteobacteria; Oceanospirillales; Halomonadaceae
Description: partial 16S ribosomal RNA
Rfam family: Bacterial small subunit ribosomal RNA
Source: RNAcentral
CCUACGGGAGGCUGCAGUGGGGAAUAUUGGACAAUGGGGGCAACCCUGAUCCAGCCAUGCCGCGUGUGUGAAGAAGGCCCUCGGGUUGUAAAGCACUUUCAGUGAGGAAGAACGCCUGGUGGUUAAUACCCAUCAGGAAAGACAUCACUCACAGAAGAAGCACCGGCUAACUCCGUGCCAGCAGCCGCGGUAAUACGGAGGGUGCGAGCGUUAAUCGGAAUUACUGGGCGUAAAGCGCGCGUAGGUGGCUUGAUAAGCCGGUUGUGAAAGCCCCGGGCUCAACCUGGGAACGGCAUCCGGAACUGUCAAGCUAGAGUGCAGGAGAGGAAGGUAGAAUUCCCGGUGUAGCGGAGAAAUGCGUAGAGAUCGGGAGGAAUACCAGUGGCGAAGGCGGCCUUCUGGACUGAAACUGACACUGAGGUGCGAAAGCGUGGGUAGCAAACAGGAUUAGAUACCCUGGUAGUC